UGGCAAUCAGAAACCAGCUUUUUAGACCUUUUUCCAUGUCCAUAUCAGUUUGGAAAUGAUUGCAAAAAUAAAUGUGAUUUUUGUGCUAAAUAUGCAACUAAUAUGUGGGAUGCAAAUGUUUAGGCAUUGUUUCGACAGU
RNAcentral lists this small nucleolar RNA (139 nucleotides) under Drosophila ananassae. Its description in RNAcentral is "snoRNA:GF26014". Lineage: Eukaryota; Metazoa; Arthropoda; Insecta; Diptera; Drosophilidae. The record is from RNAcentral.